GCCGAUGUAGCUCAGUGGUAGAGUAUGCCUUUCGUAGAUUACGUAAUCUUUCGGAUGCGUUAACGAGAGGGUGUGGUCCAUGGUUCAAACCCAUGUCUCGGCA
Kwoniella sp. CBS 6097 is the source of this 103-nucleotide non-coding RNA. Lineage: Eukaryota; Fungi; Basidiomycota; Tremellomycetes; Tremellales; Cryptococcaceae. The record is from the annotation of a GenBank genome assembly.